This is an RNA transcript of Sapajus apella (tufted capuchin), 1598 nucleotides long. It is a transcript of the gene named acyl-coenzyme A synthetase ACSM1, mitochondrial-like, with no coding region annotated. Lineage: Eukaryota; Metazoa; Chordata; Mammalia; Primates; Cebidae. The transcript is spliced from 4 exons. The record is from RefSeq and is a predicted model, not a curated record.
AGGUCAUAUACCAUGAUGUCCUCCAGGUUCAACAGCGUGGCUCCAAAUGAUGAAAUUUCAUUCUGGUUUUCUGGCUGAAGACGAUUCUAUUUGUGUACAUCCACCAAGUAUGCCUUCAUCUACGGAUGGGCAGGUUUUUCAAUGUGGCUGCAAGUGAAGAGAUUUCACCCAUUUCUAUGAUUGAAGAAUAUUCUGCUCUGGAUGUAUGUUACAGUUUCCUCAUCCCUUCAUCAAUGGAUGAACAGGGACCCAUAAUACAGUGGAUCCAUAAUUGACUGGAAGCACCACAUUCAAAGCAUCAUUUCAGGAUGAGUAUUUCAUGUCAAGUGGAUUCAAGGAACAGUGCGAAGGAUCCAUGGCCUCAGUCACCAUGAAGACCCUCCCAAGAGCCAGCCCUACUGGGCACAUAUAAAUGAGUGGAGACAUGGAACUCACCCUUACAAGGUCUAGAACCUGACAGAGCACACAAGACAGAAGCCCAAAUAACCAGAAACAGGAAGCUGAAGAUCACCCAUGGGAAAUACAUUAAGUUGCUGCCUAGGCCCCAGGGCUGGCCUCAGUUGUACCUGGUGCAAGCAGGAGGUGGCGCCUUGUUGUGAAUUCGAGACUCAGUCUGUGGCAGCUGCAGCACCAACAUCCACCACUGCAGAGCCUGUCACCAACACAAAGAGGCACAAAGGUAAAGAAGCCACGGGUGCCAUUUGCUCUGUGGCACAUCUCUGGCCACCACCUCCCCCACCUCCUUCCCAUCCCCUCAUCCCAGAGACAUCCUCAGCUUCCAGCUCCCUCCUGCCUAUAGCCAGCUUUCCCAGGGCUGGGCAUGGGGGACAAAGGCUAGUCCUGCCUCUUGUCGUUGUUGUUGAGCCUUCUUGCUUGAGGCCUUUUUGGUCUAGUCUCUCCCUUUCCUCAAUGAAAAUUCAAAUACUCCAGUUUUGGAGUCCUCAUCCCAUUCUCUAGCCUGACCUAUCCAGCUAGUAUGGUACCUCAGUGAAGGAGCUGGUUAAAGGCCUAAUUGUUUCUUUUCUCCUUUUCAAUAAGGAAGCUAAUAAUUGGGAUAAUUCAGACUCAAAUAUUUGGAGACUUCUUAAAUUUAAAAUAGAGUUUGCCAUGAAAGAGAUUAUAUGGCGUUCUUAAUAGAUGGUUUUAAGUCACCUUGACAGAAGCAGCUUUAUUUCUUCCAAUUGUAAUUUGAAAACUGAAGGAAAAAUUGUGGGGCAUGCUUAAAAUGACUGCAAAAGGUAUGAAAUGUUACUGCCAGAGCUGUAAAAGAAGUUGUUUUUGUUUUGGUUUUACCCAAAAGUUUAUCCGUGGAGCUCUGAUUCCUUUAAAAUUCCCACUUUGACAUGAAUGUCUCUUCAGCCCUACUCCAGUAACUUCACAGGCUUUGUUUACCUCCUUGUUCUGAGAGACAGGUAGAGCUAGCUCAUGGUUACAGGAUUCAAAAGAGAUGAAAUGACUUUAGACUUGAAUUUGUAAGGUAAAGACUUGAGAGUUAGAAGGCCAGACCCUGCCUGUGGAAAAGAGUUUGUUUUCAUGGCUCCUCUUCCUACAGGAUGGGAAAGGGGAGGAGAGAGGAAAUAUUUCAUUUUUUUUUUUUU